CAAUUAAACCUCUUUUCUUUAUAAAUUAGUCAGUCUUAGGCAUUUCUUUAUAGUAAUGCAAGAAUGGACUAAUACAGUGUCCUUAACACAGACAGCUUCUGGGGUUUCAUCUGAAAUCUCUCCUGCAGGAGUCCAGGGAACACAGAAGCCAGGCAAUUUCCAAGCCAAGGAUUCUGCGACCAGAGCUUAUACUUCGUGGUCAAUACGUAUAAGCUUGGGGAGAGAGUGGAGUGAUGCAGUAGCAGAGCUGCACAUGAGACAGGCAGAAGGAUCGGCAAGUAUCAACUCGGGGACCUGCUAGCCAAACGUGGCACAGUCGAGCGCUCUCUAUUUGUUCCUUCACUUUCCAGUUCUGUGGAGCUGUCUUGCCAAUAAAUAAAAGGAGGAAGAUUAAAGGAGAGAGGAUUUAAAGAGUGUGUGAAGAGCAAUUCAAAGUCUAGCACUGUUUCUGGAAAACAAUUUCAAGUUCAAGCCCAGUGGGGCCACUGCCAUACACAGAAGACAGACAGCACCAUUAGACUGCAUAGUGUUAAAUGAUCGAUUUUUGGACUAUUCAAGCUUUUUAUAUCCAUUAACUCCGAUUAAUUGGAUGGACUUAUCUUCCUUGGUGACUUGAUUUAUCGUGUGAGCCAUUCUGGCAGAAGUUAGACUUCAUGUAACCGCAUAAUGAAUUCCUGUCUAGUAGAUCACUCUAAUAGGCAAAACAUAUCGCAGCUACCCUCUGCCGGUUUCAGAGACUGGGGUCACUAUCAAACUGGUCCCUGGCCCACCUGCUUAAAUGCUGUGGCUCCUAACCACUCUUUGUGACUUUGCUGCAGCUACAGAUAUCAAGAACUCCAGUGGGCCAUGGUACUUCUUGGUCCAUGGCUGAGGGAUGAUGCAAAAGCUACAUCCAUGCAGGAGAUUUCCUUCAUAUUUGGAUAGUUUCAAAGAUAAGAGCAUCUUAUAAUAAAGGAGAAAGAAACUUCAGAAUGUCACAGGCAAAGUCUUAGGAAGUGAAGAUAUAAAGCCAAAGUAGGAGUAAAAUGUUCGUACUUGCCAUGAAGUUAACAUUCUUACUUGGAAAAAGUCAAGGUCAAACAUAAUUCAGAGUUACUUGGCUUUAACGGAAGUGAUUCCGCAAGUCUCCCUUCAGGUUUUAAGACUUAUUAUAAAAAGCAUAAUAAA
Gorilla gorilla gorilla (western lowland gorilla) is the source of this 1167-nucleotide long non-coding RNA. RefSeq lists it as uncharacterized. The record is from RefSeq and is a predicted model, not a curated record. Lineage: Eukaryota; Metazoa; Chordata; Mammalia; Primates; Hominidae. The transcript is spliced from 5 exons.